UGCCCCGAAGGAGAUGGCAUUCCUCCUUCAAUAAGCAACAAGAACCGCCGCUACGGCUGAUGAUGCCUACAGAUUU
This 76-nucleotide non-coding RNA is filed under the name Betaproteobacteria bacterium. RNAcentral describes it as "Fluoride sequence". It matches the Rfam family "Fluoride riboswitch aptamer (crcB RNA motif)". The record is from RNAcentral. Lineage: Bacteria; Pseudomonadati; Pseudomonadota; Betaproteobacteria.